GACCGAACCCGAACUAAGCAAAACUUCGGUCUUCGGUUAGUAGCUCGGUCUUGUCCACACAGUGACCGAAAUAAUCUCGGGCUGUUCGGUCGUCAUUGCCAGGAGACCGAACUGCCCGAACCCCGAAGAGACCGGCCAUUGUUUCUGAGCGCAUGGAUUAUCCCAGCGUUUCUCUAUUCCCCUCCUUAGAUCUCACUUCUGUUCUUGUUGAUCUAGCAAACAGCGGAGGAGGGGACAUGCCUUAGCGCCGCCACACCCCAGUUCAACCCAUCACAUCCACAUCUAUCAGCCCGCCUCUCCAUCCCCGCCACACCGCCUCGCCGCCAGCAAACCGUCGACCUGGCCGCCGGCAGCGAGCUGCACCACCUGACCGCGACCCCGCCGGAUCUCCGACCUUGGGCGCUGCUGCCGGACCUCCGCGACAGGCCACACCACCAUGCAGAUGCUGCUCCGCCCGUGGCUGCACUGCUCCUGUGUUUGCGAUAAUUGGAUGCGAUGGCCUCUAGUCUGCAACCGAUCCAUCAUGAUCAUCCACGUUCUUUGUUCCUGCCUAUGUUAUAUACACAGAAUUAACCAUGUAAUUUAUUUACUUUUGCUGCUGCCACAAUUAACCAUGUUGCAUAUGCAUAUGCUUCAUGGACAAAGUUGCUUGAAGAGUUUGGUGAAAAAGCCCGAGAGGGAAGCGCAAGGCCGAUGGUUCUGCUGCCGAUGCAUCCGCGGCGUUGGGCAAGUCAAGCAAGGUUGCUUGAUGAAUGGUUGCACACUUCCCAGCAACUUCUAUUAUCUAUGUGCACUUGUCAACUGUUACUUGUCAAGUUUGUUUGAGAAUGUGAGAUUGAAACUUGAUACGGAGUAUUUGCUAUUUGUAAGAGUUGUGAGUGCUAACGUAUGAUGUUGUGCCUGCUAUUUUGUGCUGGCAAGUGCUAACAUAUGAUAUUGUGGUUCCAUUUGUGUUGCAAA
Lolium perenne is the source of this 960-nucleotide long non-coding RNA. RefSeq lists it as uncharacterized. The record is from RefSeq and is a predicted model, not a curated record. NCBI's taxonomy places the organism in Eukaryota, Viridiplantae, Streptophyta, Magnoliopsida, Poales, Poaceae.